RNAcentral lists this ribosomal RNA (508 nucleotides) under uncultured bacterium. Its description in RNAcentral is "bacterial SSU rRNA". It matches the Rfam family "Bacterial small subunit ribosomal RNA", at positions 1000 to 1509 of the family's 1533-position model. The record is from RNAcentral.
CCAGAGAUGGAUUGGUGCCUUCGGGAACUCUGAGACAGGUGCUGCAUGGCUGUCGUCAGCUCGUGUUGUGAAAUGUUGGUUAAGUCCCGCAACGAGCGCAACCUUUAUCCUUUGUUGCCAGCGGUUAGGCCGGGAACUCAAAGGAGACUGCCAGUGAUAAACUGGAGGAAGGUGGGGAUGACGUCAAGUCAUCAUGGCCCUUACGAGUAGGGCUACACACGUGCUACAAUGGCGCAUACAAAGAGGAGCGACCUCGCGAGAGCAAGCGGACCUCAUAAAGUGCGUCGUAGUCCGGAUUGGAGUCUGCAACUCGACUCCAUGAAGUCGGAAUCGCUAGUAAUCGUGGAUCAGAAUGCCACGGUGAAUACGUUCCCGGGCCUUGUACACACCGCCCGUCACACCAUGGGAGUGGGUUGCAAAAGAAGUAGGUAGCUUAACCUUCGGGAGGGCGCUUACCACUUUGUGAUUCAUGACUGGGGUGAAGUCGUAACAAGGUAAGCGUAGAUGA